This 659-nucleotide ribosomal RNA is filed under the name Hepatozoon canis. Its description in RNAcentral is "SSU rRNA". It matches the Rfam family "Eukaryotic small subunit ribosomal RNA", at positions 174 to 821 of the family's 1831-position model. Lineage: Eukaryota; Apicomplexa; Hepatozoidae. The record is from RNAcentral.
AGCAAAAUCUCAACUUUAUUAGAAGAGACGCAUUUAUUAGAUAAAAAGCCAAUGCAUGCUUUUACAGUAUGGAAAUUGGUGAUUUAUAAUAACUUGGCAAAUCGCAAAGUGAAAACAGGCGAUAAAUCAUUCAAGUUUCUGACCUAUCAGCUUUCGACGGUAUGGUAUUGGCUUACCGUGGCAGUGACGGUUAACGGGGGAUUAGGGUUCGAUUCCGGAGAGGGAGCCUGAGAAACGGCUACCACAUCUAAGGAAGGCAGCAGGCGCGCAAAUUACCCAAUUCUAACAGUUUGAGAGAGGUAGUAACAAGAAAUAACAAUACAAGGCAAUUAAAAUGUUUUGUAAUUGGAAUGAUAGAAAUUUAAACCCUUUUUAAAGUAUCAAUUGGAGGGCAAGUCUGGUGCCAGCAGCCGCGGUAAUUCCAGCUCCAAUAGCGUAUAUUAAAAUUGUUGCAGUUAAAAAGCUCGUAGUUGAAGUUCUGCUAAAAGUAACCGGUCUGCUUUUAAUAAAAGUGGUAUCUUGGUGUGUAUUUAGCAAUGAUGUCCUUUGAAGUGUUUUUUACUUUAUUGUAAUAAAGCAUAUUCAGGACUUUUACUUUGAGAAAAUUAGAGUGUUUCUAGCAGGCCGACGCUUUGAAUACUGCAGCAUGGAAUAAUAAG